AUCUAAAUAGUUUAUAAAAAAUAUUGAUUUGUGGAAUCAAAGAUAUAAAAAUUUAUUUUAGAUA
Molecule: transfer RNA, 64 nt
Filed under: Chrysomelidae sp. SPH01
Lineage: Eukaryota; Metazoa; Arthropoda; Insecta; Coleoptera; Chrysomelidae
Description: tRNA-His
Source: RNAcentral